Rhincodon typus (whale shark) is the source of this 1105-nucleotide long non-coding RNA. RefSeq lists it as uncharacterized. The record is from RefSeq and is a predicted model, not a curated record. The transcript has 3 exons. NCBI's taxonomy places the organism in Eukaryota, Metazoa, Chordata, Chondrichthyes, Orectolobiformes, Rhincodontidae.
UCAGCUGCAAAUUUUGGCCUUUUCUUGUUUAAAGACCAUUGUUCAACUACUUCCUAUAGAAAUCCAGGUCAGUGACAUCUGUGGAGAGAAAUAAGUGGUUGGCCAGAAAACAUGAACUUUUCAUCAGAACUGGGAGAUGUCACAAAUGAGCAAUUUUUAAGCAAAUACAGCAUUGGGAAGAGGGUUGGGGAGAUGGAGAAGCCAAAUAAAAAGAACAUCUGUGAUCAGAUUCCAAGGGCCUAGUUGUGCUCCAACACCUGAUCCAUAUGGCCAUUGUUUGUACAGCACCUCAUCUAUGGAGUUCAGCCAGAGAUUCAACUGAGAACAUCAUAACCAAACUUUUACUUCUGUCACACUUUCAAACAUGUGCAAACAUGUUUACUCCCAGUGCUGCAAAACAGGAAUGCAUCACCAGUGGCAACUGGUGCACAUGGCCUUUUUAUUGCAGGAAGGAGCUCCAGUUUGUGAAUUUUCGCAACUUGGUUAGGAUUAUUAAUGAUGGAAGUUUUCAAUUGAAUUUAAUAUUCACAGCAGACAAACAUGUAAAUUGACAACUGACUCUCACACAAAUGAUCUGUUUUACAGUCCUCCAGUCUCAGUACUCAGCCACAAUAUAACUUUCUUUUGAGUCUGAAGUGAUUACUUGGUCAUUUGUCAUUCAAGUCACACUGGCUACCAGGGGUGAACUCUAAACUGUCACUACUGUUUCAUUUAAUGACAUCAUGCUAUAAAAGAAGUGACUAAUCACUUGGAAAUCCAGACUGUAACUAACUUGAGGUUCUGGUAAACAAGCUGACUUUGUUUUUGUCCUGUCAUAACUUCAUACUUUCACUGCAUUCAAAAAUAAGGAUGUGGCAGCAUGUUAGAUUGCUUGAACGUCCUUUGUGUGUGCCUUUUUUUAAUUGUCUCUGCUACCUUCCUCUGUCUAGGGAACUCCUAUAACUUAUGUGUGUAGUAAAGGUGAGUUAACACUAAUAUUACUUUCUCUGCCUCACAUAUAUAUGCCAAAGUACAUAUGGGCACAUGUAUAGAGCUGCAGACAUACACAUUUGCAAAUAAAAAACAUUUGAGCGUGGCCUUACAAAUGUUGGAUACCUAUGCACAA